RNAcentral lists this ribosomal RNA (432 nucleotides) under uncultured Sphingomonas sp. RNAcentral describes it as "bacterial SSU rRNA". It matches the Rfam family "Bacterial small subunit ribosomal RNA", at positions 46 to 524 of the family's 1533-position model. The record is from RNAcentral. Lineage: Bacteria; Pseudomonadati; Pseudomonadota; Alphaproteobacteria; Sphingomonadales; Sphingomonadaceae.
GCCUAACUCAUGCAAGUCGAACGAAACCUUCGGGUCUAGUGGCGCACGGGUGCGUAACGCGUGGGAAUCUGCCCUUGGGUUCGGAAUAAAACUUAGAAAUGACUGCUAAUACCGGAUGAUGACUAAAGUCCAAAGAUUUAUCGCCCAAGGAUGAGCCCGCGUAGGAUUAGCUAGUUGGUGAGGUAAAGGCUCACCAAGGCAACGAUCCUUAGCUGGUCUGAGGGGAUGAUCAGCCACACUGGGACUGAGACACGGCCCAGACUCCUACGGGAGGCAGCAGUGGGGAAUAUUGGACAAUGGGCGAAAGCCUGAUCCAGCAAUGCCGCGUGAGUGAUGAAGGCCUCAGGGUUGUAAAGCUCUUUUACCCGGGAUGAUAAUGACAGUACCGGGAGAAUAAGCCCCGGCUAACUCCGUGCCAGCAGCCGCGGUAAU